GACAGAGGGUGCUAGCGUUGUUCGGAAUUACUGGGCGUAAAGGGCGCGUAGGCGGCUGUACAAGUCAAAGGUGAAAUCCCUCGGCUCAACUGAGGAACUGCCUUUGAAACUGUACGGCUUGAGGCCGGGAGGGGGUAGCGGAAUUCCCAGUGUAGCGGUGAAAUGCGUAGAUACUGGGAGGAACACCAGUGGCGAAGGCGGCUACCUGGACCGGUUCUGACGCUGAGGCGCGAAAGCGUGGGUAGCAAACAGG
RNAcentral lists this ribosomal RNA (253 nucleotides) under uncultured bacterium. RNAcentral describes it as "partial 16S ribosomal RNA". It matches the Rfam family "Bacterial small subunit ribosomal RNA", at positions 524 to 776 of the family's 1533-position model. The record is from RNAcentral.